RNAcentral lists this long non-coding RNA (762 nucleotides) under Mus spicilegus (steppe mouse). RNAcentral describes it as "lncRNA (ENSMSIG00000030882.1)". Lineage: Eukaryota; Metazoa; Chordata; Mammalia; Rodentia; Muridae. The record is from RNAcentral.
AACCCCUGAGCCUCCAGUAGCAUGAAGCCAUGUUUCUCUUCCAGGGCUUGAUGUCUCACCAGUAUACACAGAGAGACACUUGGUUCCACCUUGGUUCCUUUGCACUUCCAUGGAAGCCUACACACACAGAGGUGGGCUGACAUGAUUUGAAGUUUGAUGUCUGGAACACAAUAGAUGCCCAACAAAUGCAUGUGCUAUCUCGGAGAGAUUGAUCUCAGGAGCUGGACACUUGAAUUACAAGCAUAUUUCUCCUUGCACACUUUCAUGGGAGGAUCAAAAUGAAUGAGCUAAAAGUUAAAAGAUGAUGAACAUGAUUCUAAGCACAAUGUUAUCACUCCCAAGAGCCAUGUUUUCAUAGAAGAAAGGGCAAGAUUCAGGGGACAGCAUCUUUCUUCUAUGUGAAGCUGUAAAUAACAACCUCUUUGGAUGGAACUCCCGAACCACAGAUGGCGAGGACACAUCAUUUAGGGCCAGCUUAAUUAGUGAUGGACACAUUUCAGUGUUUUUAUUUCUUGGCUAUUUCAUCCUUCAGAAUUCUGUGACAUUUGAUUGCUCCCUCCAUAUGACCAAGGAAGUAAUGGAAACAAAUCACCAGAUUGAUCAACAUACUUAAGAUAAAAGUCUUAAGAUUUAUUUUCCUGAAAUGACUACAAAGUAAUUGUUGAACCUACAGUGAAGGUUUCGGUCGAUAUCUAUUCAAAUCUAAUUUCAGAGGAAAUGUUUUGCAUCUGUCCAGAGAGUCAGAGACUUUCAAGUCUUUUU